AGGGUGAUUAUGCGACCAACCAGAGGAGGAAGGAGUCAUUCUAAAUGACUUUACUCAGAAAUGGAGAAUUAUCACUUGAAGUUGCUAGAAACGAACAAUAUUGUGUUUCUGCCCCAAAGAUCAAAUUGAUUAGUAAUGCUUGGUAACUUCUCUCUAUUUUUUCUUCAUUGGUUUAUGUUUAAUCAAAAAUACCAUUACAGAGUAUCUGGCUUAUUAUCCUGUGUUUCUUCACACGCAGUUGAUUUGCUACUAAGGCUAUCUAUGCUGAUAAUAUAAUACUCUGUUACUGAACAGUAGAGAAAAUACUCAAGAACUCAAUGUCUAGGUUUCACAUUUGCAUUUCCUCCAUGCUUUUUAUCUUUCUUGAAAAUAAAUUGCUACUGACGAUAGACACUAACUUAUGAGUAUAUAUCAUUUUUUUCACCAAUGUUGCUGAAAAGAACUUGUGAUUAGGGAAUGGAUUUAUGCUUCACAUACAGAAUAUCUUUAAUCCUAUAUAAUAGUUUCUUUUUCAUGUCACAGUGUGGUUUUAGUAUUAAGUGGUCAUCCAACGAUGCAUAGUGGUGACAAGUCCAGCAUCAUGGUAGGCAUGAGUGUGCCAGACAGCAAAAUCUAAUCAAAGAAACUUACGUGAAGCAAGUUUAUCUGUCUCGCAAUUUCAAGGAAUUUAAGGUCAGAAGAUGAUGUGUAACAAGAACAUGACAAAAUGAGACCUUUGUAUCACAGGAGACAAAAUUGACCGAGAGCAAUCAAUCUCAAAUUAUCCUAUGUAACCCUUGUCAGUACUUCUUAAUGUUCACAGCUACACUCUCGCAAUGCUUCCUAUUUAUUGAUUUUUAAUUUGAAAGAAAAUCAUUCAAUUGUGUGACUGGUUGUGUUCUCUUUAAAAUCCAGAAUUAAUUUACUGGUCAUGCUGGCAAGGCUAGUAUUUCAAAAUUUUGUCAAUGAUUAGCAGAGGGACUGCUUAUGGUCAAAGCAGUUGUCAAGCACCAACUUAUCAGUGGUAGAAACUUCGUUUAGGACCUUGUGCAAAAGAGAAAUUGUGGCUGAAGAAACAAGUUCUCUAUGUCAAGUUUUCACACUUGCUUAGUGUUCUUCUAGCAUUCAGUGGUCAAUCAAGGAUGCAUUGGUUGAGAAUAGGAAAUAACAGCCUUAAUUUAGAAUGAAAAAUAUUUUCAGACUACUGAGAAGCAGCUACACCAGAACAUUUUUCUAAAUUUUGUAUUAUGGAGAACAGUGCCAGGAAGUUACAACGAAGGAAUCAAAUUUUGUUUCUACCCCGAGGACCAAAUUAGAUAGUUGUGCGUGAAUUGAUUUACUACUAAGGCUAAAUAUGCUGAGAAUUUUCUGUAAAGGGCUCAAAUGGUGUGCCUGCUGCACAUAUCAAAUUGAAUUCAUUUGCUACUCAUGCUAGCUAUUCCAAGAAUUUAAGGCUCCUUCACCUAUCAGCAGAGAAAAUAUUGAAGGACCAAAUUCUAUUGCUCAAUAAUUUCUGAAAAUUCAUUGAGGCUCAGGUGCUCAAUGUCUAGUUUUCACAUUUGCUUGAGGAGAGAAAAAAGGAAGCUAUUUUAAUGACAAGUCAUUGUUACUUUGAUUUUGGAUGACACCACCAAAUAAAUUGGUCAUUGGACUCAAAAGAAUCAAUUUACUAGUCAUGCUAACAAGGCUAGUAUGAAGAAAUUAUGUGGAAAAGUUACCCUGAAAGUUUGUGUGUUGUGUUGGAUAUGGUUCUUGCGUGACUUUGACGGAUUAUCGGCUUACAUUGACGCAUUCGGGGUCUCGUUCGAUGGUGAGGGGGCAGGGGUGAGGGGGCAGCACCUCCUUGACAGUAAGCCUAAUUAGUAAUUGAGCUUAGAAUUGAUUUGUAAAUAUUUGGGUCUGGGUCAAGUUAGAUUGGGUUAGCCCAAAUGGGGUUGGGGUUACUAUUAUACGCAUAUUGUUAUAGUGGAAAAACCCUAGUGUGAGAAAAAUAGAGAGAAAAAGUGAGUUGCCAAUACUUUUUCAUCAUUGUAUUCUUCAGAUUCUUGAAACCCAAUAAAAUUGUUCUAUUUGAAUGCUGGACGUAGUUCUCAGUAAUUGAGAACGAACCAGGGUAAAUUGAUUGUGCCCUCUUU
Long non-coding RNA from Pistacia vera, 2114 nucleotides. RefSeq lists it as uncharacterized. Lineage: Eukaryota; Viridiplantae; Streptophyta; Magnoliopsida; Sapindales; Anacardiaceae. The transcript has 8 exons. The record is from RefSeq and is a predicted model, not a curated record.